This 416-nucleotide ribosomal RNA is filed under the name uncultured bacterium. Its description in RNAcentral is "partial 16S ribosomal RNA". It matches the Rfam family "Bacterial small subunit ribosomal RNA", at positions 355 to 766 of the family's 1533-position model. The record is from RNAcentral.
UGGGGAAUUUUGGACAAUGGGCGAAAGCCUGAUCCAGCAAUGCCGCGUGUGUGAAGAAGGCCUUCGGGUUGUAAAGCACUUUUGUCCGGAAAGAAAUCCUUGGCUCUAAUACAGUCGGGGGAUGACGGUACCGGAAGAAUAAGCACCGGCUAACUACGUGCCAGCAGCCGCGGUAAUACGUAGGGUGCAAGCGUUAAUCGGAAUUACUGGGCGUAAAGCGUGCGCAGGCGGUUGCUAAGACCGAUGUGAAAUCCCGGGCUCAACCUGGGAACUGCAUGGUGACUGGCAGGCUAGAGUAUGGCAGGAGGGAGGUAGAAUUCCACGUGUAGCAGUGAAAUGCGUAGAGAUGUGGAGGAAUACCGAUGGCGAAGGCAGCCCCUGGGCCAAUACUGACGCUCAUGCACGAAAGCGUGGGG